UGGGGAAUAUUGCACAAUGGGCGCAAGCCUGAUGCAGCCAUGCCGCGUGUAUGAAGAAGGCCUUCGGGUUGUAAAGUACUUUCAGCGGGGAGGAAGGGAGUAAAGUUAAUACCUUUGCUCAUUGACGUUACCCGCAGAAGAAGCACCGGCUAACUCCGUGCCAGCAGCCGCGGUAAUACGGAGGGUGCAAGCGUUAAUCGGAAUUACUGGGCUUAAAGCGCACGCAGGCGGUUUGUUAAGUCAGAUGUGAAAUCCCCGGGCUCAACCUGGGAAGUGCAUCUGAUAAUGGGAAGCUUGAGUCUCGUAGAGGGGGGGAGAAUUCCAGGUGGAGCGGUGAAAUGCGUAGAAGACUGGAGGAAUACCGGUGGCGAAGGCGGCCCCCUGGACGAAGACUGACGCUCAGGUGCGAAAGGGUGGGGAGCAAACAGG
RNAcentral lists this ribosomal RNA (429 nucleotides) under Chloroflexota bacterium. RNAcentral's name for it is "Chloroflexi bacterium partial 16S ribosomal RNA". It matches the Rfam family "Bacterial small subunit ribosomal RNA", at positions 355 to 776 of the family's 1533-position model. The record is from RNAcentral. Lineage: Bacteria; Bacillati; Chloroflexota.